GCCCUGGGUGCCAUGGGAACACUGAAGAGAGACUGACAUGGAUGCUGCCGCCCUCGGGUACCUCCCAGGCUGCUGGAGGAGACAAGCCACGGACACAGCCACUAGCACCACCUACAAAGUAAGGAGUGCCUGCGGACUAGAUCGUGACACUACACCCUGCCACCAGCAGCGUAAGUGCCUUUAGUGGCUCUUCCUCCCAAUGAGUGAUCAUGGGUCGUGUAUGGCCAGCCACUUGCUUUCUUCCUGAUUCCUCUCAACAUCUGGUCACAGCUGGCAGCCUCUUCCAGUGACAUCUCGGACCGUAAGUGGAUCAAGACGCAGCCUUGUCAGCCCCCACAUCUCAGGAUGCUCCAGGAAGUUGCUGUGUUUAACGUGGCGGCCUACAGAGGAGGAGGCUGUACCUCAUGGUCCAGGGAGAUGGUGCUCUCAAAAGUUCCAGAAAAGGGAUGGAACAAAUUUGGAGCACCUACUUUGGGCCAGGACUCAUUUAAGCUUCAAGAAACCUAGGAAAGAGGCAACUUCCCGCCAUCUUAUAGGUGGAGGGACUGAGGGUGAAUAUUGAAUUGAUUCACUUUUGCCACAUAACAAAGCACUCCCAGAGUGUCCUAAGAUCUCCAUUUCUUUCGCUCCCAAUGCUAUAGGUAAGCAAUUUGGGCUGGACGCAGGUGGACGCCCUUCUGAUGAUCUCAGCGAGACAAUGCCCACUCAUGGUCAGCUAGGAAUCAAGUGGAGGCUGACUGGUCUCACCCACCUGUCUGGUAGUUGAUGGCUAUGGGCAACACGAAUGGCUGAGCCAUGUGCUCUCAUGAACCCAGCUUCCCAGGGCAGCAAGAGAGCCAGCCCCAAUGUGUGAACACUUUUUAAAGCCUUUGGUGGCUUGUUUGCUAAUGUCCCAGGAGCCACGUAAGACAUAAGGCCAGUGCAGAGCCAGUGUGGGAGGGGACUAUCCAAGGGGCAGAUAGAGGAAGUUAAACAAAUUAUGGCCGUUUUUGUAAUCUGCGACAAGAACUCCGUUCAAGGAACACACUAAAUGCAUGGCAGAGCUUCCUCUUUGAUCUUCUGAGCUGACAGGCAUGUGGUGAGCACAGCCUCAUGUGUCCCUAAUGUGUUCCAGACACACUUAGCACUUCCCACACAGCCAUGUAAACUGCCCGGUCCUCACUGAACUUUCUACUCCGACUGAUCUUGAGAGGCACAUGUCUCAGGAUUUAAAUAAAAAUGAAC
Molecule: long non-coding RNA, 1224 nt
Organism: Pan paniscus (pygmy chimpanzee)
Lineage: Eukaryota; Metazoa; Chordata; Mammalia; Primates; Hominidae
Source: Ensembl